RNAcentral lists this unclassified non-coding RNA (2191 nucleotides) under Hevea brasiliensis (rubber tree). The record is from RNAcentral. Lineage: Eukaryota; Viridiplantae; Streptophyta; Magnoliopsida; Malpighiales; Euphorbiaceae.
UUAUUGACUCGCUUGGGAAAGAAAGAUGCAUUUGUUUCUCAAGUUGACACGACUCAUGUUCUAAGGAAGAUAAUGUAGAACGACUAGGAACUAAUUUCUAAGGCUUGGUGAGACUUGGAUGACCCACACGGCUAUGAAGAUCAACAAAAGAGAAGGCAACUGGUUAAUGUAAAUGGCAGAGAUGGUACAAUCCUUGUAACUCAUGUGCUACUCCAAUCAGCUUCCUUGUACCCUAGUCCUUCAAAUGAACAAAGUCAGUGGUAAAGGUUAUUGAGCAAUUAAGGUGUUUAGUCAAUUUGCUAAAAAAAAUCAAAUGAUCUGGACAUUCAAGGGCAAACAAAAUUAAGGUUAAAGGAAUAGAAGGAAGAAGAUUUACUUCUCCAUCCUUUUAUCCAUUGUUCGUGAACCAUUAGCUAAUGUAACCUUAAAUGGUAUGGAAGGAGAUGUAAGAGUGGAGAAAGGUUAUGAUUACCAGAUAUAUGGUCAAAGGCACCAAAAUCUAAAAUCCAUUGACUGGUGGGUGAGGACUUGGCUAGAUAAGCAAAGGAAUUACAAGGAGGGAAAUGCUAAAUGAGGAUGAUUGCUUUUGCUUUGCUGCUUAAUACUGCAUAUAUUCAUUGUAAUUUGCUCUUGUUAAGGUAAUUGAGUUUGGCAUCCGAUUUGGGCUAUGUUAGUGGUUGGUCUGCUAGUAUUGUUGCAUUGAUUGGUUCAUGGUGGUUGGCCAUGAAGUACCUAGCAAGUAUCCCAUGUGUGGCACCUUUAUUACAGUAGGUAUAAUGAGAUUUCUUCUCUUUGCCUUUUUGAUAACCACCUUGUCCCUGUUGAUUUUUGUUUUUCACACCAAGACUGAGGAUUCAAAUUCUAGUGGAUCACUCAUACUUGGAGAAAUGUGUAAGAGUCAGGCAGAUACAUCCUUUAAAAUAGGAAUAAUGGACUUAUUAGAAUCUUGUGAUUCUUAACUUCACUAUGUUGUAUUGAGUUACACCUUAUAGAAUCUUGUGAAAUUAAGCUCAUGUUAAUUUUCUAGAACCUUGAAUGCAGAGAAAUUGUUAAUUGCAUCUUGGAAAACUUGUACUGCACCAUGGAUUUUUGUGACUUAUGAGCUUGAUUAUGCCUUUAGUGAUGUUAAAAAAGUUUUGGCAGAGCUAUUUCCAUGGGAAAUGUUUUUAAAAUUUCUGUAAAAAUAAUUGCACCUUAUUGCACCCUCUUUCCUAACACUGCACCAAGCUAAAACUCACUGCAUAUUGAGAAAACCAAGCAGAACUAUUGCCCUCUUAACUUAUGCUGCUAAGAUGACUUAUUAGUGCUUGCUCAGUAGAGGCAAUAUGUAAAAAAUUACAUUUUGGCCCUUGUGCAUCCAACUAAAUCAAUAAAUUCACCAUUGCAACACCCAGUUUCUUACUAUAUCGUACUAGUUCUUAGUUACACCCUAUUGCAUCUUAUAUCAAUCCAUCAUACUCACACAACAACCUCCAAAAUUAAUAAUUGACCUCAUGGUAGUAAGAUUCAGUACAUUGCACUAGCUUUAUCAUAGAAGACUGUCACUGCAACUUAAGAAAUCUUGUUGCAUCACUAGAAAAACCACCGCACUCUAGACUUUUUCACUUCUUGAUCCUGCUAGUAAUUAAAACAUAUCUCCAGUUGUUCUAGCAAAGCAACUUUCAUAUAAAAAUGUACCAGAAACCAGCCCGGCCUCCAAUGCAAAAACUUGUUUCUUGAGUUAGAUCACCGCAUCUAGCUACAACCCUCUGUACUUCAUGAAUUCUUUACUGCACAUUGUUCUCAUAGCACACUUCCGAAUUUCUAGAGACCCAAGAAUAACUUCCAAGGUUCUAGCACGCCAAUUUUCAUAGAAGAACAUACCAAACACUAGAACAACCACCACCAUGCUACAUUGCACCUCAGACUUAGCCAGCUUAACCAUUUUCAACCAUUCGAACUUCAUACCUAGGACUAGAUGAACUUCACCAGGAUCUCUUUUGUAGCUAUUAAUUACUCCAACCUAACUAAUCUCUUCAAUAAUGAAACUUUAAGGCAAAGAUGGUAUCUUUCAAGUCUCACAAUCCCUUGAACUUGUUGUGAAAUAGCUAGAGUUGAGUUAGCACCUCAACAGGUCUCCCACGAGACUUCUUGUUGCCCAAUGCUACUAUCAUGGAUAUGCUACCUUCAUCCACCAAUUCCAGUAAGUAUC